AUUUUUAACUGAAUAUUUACGAAAGCUGAAAGCGUGCGAGGGGGGUGGGGUGGAAAUAGCGGCUGCUUCUUUUCCAAGGAUUUAUUUAAUGGGGAUGUGUUCAAGGCAAGACCGAAUUCAGAAGGAUAUCGACGUCGUGAUCCAGAAGUCCAGAGCUGAGGACUGCCUGUUUGCAGGGCCCGCCUGGCAGGACGACUGAGCAAGUUCUUGGAAAACCAGAGAUAUUAGAGCGGUGAAUCGCGCUGGUCACGUUGGACACCUGCGCGUUAGGAGAUUCUGGAGCCAGAGGGAGAGACCCCAGAAACGCCCCGGUCGGCGACCCAGCCCGAGACGCCUGGGGUCCCAAGGGAAGCUGAACGCCCGGUGGGCUCCCGGGAUGGUUCUUCCGGUUCUUUGUGCCGCCUUCACCCAGUGAAGGAGCCUGUAUCCACCCUGCCCAGUCGCUGUUGGGCUGCUGCGGAGCUUCCGCUGCCAUCUUCGGAUCCUGUGUUCCGCCCGGGGCUCCACCAGGGCAGGGAUGGUGCAGAAUGGGGAAAUGGAGAGAGAACCUGAAAGAGCCCCAAACUCGAGGACCUAUUGCUCCCCAAGAAUAACAUCUUCCAGAACUAGACAGAAAACUAGGCGUCUGGGAACCCUGAAAUCCUUGGAGGAGUAGAUCAUCAUGACCCUCUGUGUUCCUUUUGGCAAAUGACUUGCUUCCAUUGUUUGUUUGUUCAAUUGUCUGUUUGUUAAAUAAAUAAAACCCUUUUUAUGUAUCUUUAAAAUUA
RNAcentral lists this long non-coding RNA (767 nucleotides) under Homo sapiens (human). RNAcentral's name for it is "non-protein coding LINC00623:22". The record is from RNAcentral. Lineage: Eukaryota; Metazoa; Chordata; Mammalia; Primates; Hominidae.